CGAGGACCUGGUGCAUAGCCAUGCAGACCCUGUGCUUGCUGCUUUCCUGCUUCAGUCUAUCUGCCUGCAGCUGUCAGAAAUGUGGCACAAAGUUAUAUGUUCAGAGCAAACUACCAGAUGUGGUCAAGAGACAAACCAAUAAGACCCUUCCUGAUCAUCAUCCAGUUGGUGUCAUGUCUCCCUCUCAAAACAAAACAGACAACAACAAAAACAAACAAAUAAAAGCAACAGCCAUGGAGUCUAGUUUGUGUUGGCUCACUAAUCCUGAGCAUGAGGCCUACCCUGGAGUGUGGUACGUGUACCAGAGAUCAGUACUUCAAAGAAAACAACUGAUUUUCCCUCUUCCAGAAGCAAUCAAAUGUCAAUACCUCCUUAGCUAGGGUUAGGAGGUGAGUUUGGUCCCGUAUUCCCUCCUCAGUGUUGGGAUUUUGUCUGGGUUGAGCUUGAACUUGUCCAACACAUACCAUAGUAAGCUUCUGAUGAACUUGUAACCUCUGAUCUUUCUUUUUGAAUCUGUCACUUUUAUUAUUUUAAUUCUGCAUCUGUGUGUGCAUGUGUGUAUACAUAUGUGAGUGUGUGGUGAUAUCUUACUUGUACAAAUGAAGCCAGUCUGGGGGUCAGAGAAUAGAGCUUGCCACUUGCUAAACUUAGAGGUCUGGAGGUCAGUACAAACAGACAGGAAGUGAGGGAGCUGGGAAGAAACAG
RNAcentral lists this long non-coding RNA (705 nucleotides) under Cricetulus griseus (Chinese hamster). Its description in RNAcentral is "lncRNA (ENSCGRG00015042796.1)". Lineage: Eukaryota; Metazoa; Chordata; Mammalia; Rodentia; Cricetidae. The record is from RNAcentral.